RNAcentral lists this transfer RNA (87 nucleotides) under Corynebacterium sp. RNAcentral describes it as "tRNA-Leu". It matches the Rfam family "tRNA". Rfam says of the family: Transfer RNA (tRNA) molecules are approximately 80 nucleotides in length. Their secondary structure includes four short double-helical elements and three loops (D, anti-codon, and T loops). The record is from RNAcentral. RNAcentral also lists the same sequence under 2 other names. Lineage: Bacteria; Bacillati; Actinomycetota; Actinomycetes; Mycobacteriales; Corynebacteriaceae.
GCGCCUGUGGCGGAAUUGGCAGACGCGCUGGAUUUAGGUUCCAGUGCCCGUGAGGGCGUGGGAGUUCAAGUCUCCCCAGGCGCACGA